Molecule: ribosomal RNA, 253 nt
Filed under: uncultured bacterium
Lineage: Bacteria
Description: partial 16S ribosomal RNA
Rfam family: Bacterial small subunit ribosomal RNA
Source: RNAcentral
UACGUAGGGUGCAAGCGUUGUCCGGAAUUAUUGGGCGUAAAGAGCUCGUAGGCGGUCUGUCGCGUCGGCUGUGAAAUCCCGAGGCUCAACCUCGGGUCUGCAGUCGAUACGGGCAAACUGGAGUGUUGCAGGGGAGACUGGAAUUCCUGGUGUAGCGGUGAAAUGCGCAGAUAUCAGGAGGAACACCGGUGGCGAAGGCGGGUCUCUGGGCAACAACUGACGCUGAGGAGCGAAAGCGAGGGGAGCGAACAGG